RNAcentral lists this long non-coding RNA (729 nucleotides) under Physcomitrium patens. RNAcentral's name for it is "long non-coding RNA (PPAT_LNC012700)". Lineage: Eukaryota; Viridiplantae; Streptophyta; Bryopsida; Funariales; Funariaceae. The record is from RNAcentral.
UUUAGGAUUUGAUUAGGAUUUGGUUAGGAUUUGAUUAGGAUUUGGUUUAGGAUUUAGAGUUUGGAUUAGGAUUUGGUUUAGGAUUUGGUUAGGAUUUUAUUUAGGGUUUAGAAUUUAGUUAGGAUUUGGAUUAGGGUUUGGUUUAGGGUUUAGGAUUUGGAUUAGGAUUUGGUUAGGAUUUGAUUUAGGGUUUGGUCAGGAUUUGGUUAGGAUUUGAUUUAGGAUUUGGUUAGGAUUUGAUUUAGGAUUUGGUUAAGAUUUGGUUUAGGAUUUGGUUGAGAUUUGGUUUAAGGUUUGUUUAGGGUUUGAUUUAGGGUUUAGUGUUUUAUUAGGAUUUAAGAUUCAAUUAGUUUUGGCCUAAAGUUUAAAUGAAGUUCAAUAGGAUUUUAACUAAAAUUACAUUAAGAUUGAAUUGAAAUAUAUUUGAGUGAUAUUUGUGAUCAUUUUAAUAUUUCUUUAAAAAUUCUUAUUGUUUGUUUGAAAUUUCUUUCAAUUUGAUUAACCUUGCUUACCAUUAUCAUGGUCUAAUUAGAGCAUUGUUAAUAUUCUAUUAAAAUUAGGAUUUUGUUAUUGCAAUUUCCAUUCUUCUUUCCACAGCCAAGUGCCCGAAACAUUCUCAAGCAAGACUUCACAUAUUAUGACAAAGGGGACACCCAAUCCAGGUCUCGUUAUAGGCCUCUUACCCAGUAUGAGACCUAGCUCGGUUGGACAACCCAAUGAGGUUUCGAA